Molecule: small nuclear RNA, 20 nt
Filed under: Arabidopsis thaliana (thale cress)
Lineage: Eukaryota; Viridiplantae; Streptophyta; Magnoliopsida; Brassicales; Brassicaceae
Description: snRNA_16937
Source: RNAcentral
ACAAGGAUUCCCUUAGUAAC